RNAcentral lists this non-coding RNA (426 nucleotides) under Pongo abelii (Sumatran orangutan). Lineage: Eukaryota; Metazoa; Chordata; Mammalia; Primates; Hominidae. The record is from RNAcentral.
GGAAGAAGGAAUCAGGAGGCAGAGCACAUGGUUAAAGCAUGAGAUGUGAAACCAGGAAGAACCAGGUCUGAAUCUUAGCUCCACCAGUGGUAGCUCCAAACCUUAGUCCUUUCUGAGCCUGCUUCUUCAACCCUAAGGAAUUCGGAAACGGGACCCAGAAAGUUGUUUCCUGCAAGUGGCUGGAACAACACAAGCAAUAAGUAUCCUGAAACAGGCCCUGUUCCAACAAACUGACCCAGAAAGAGGUUACACCAAUUAUCUCUCCAGCAAGUAUGAGGAAUCCUGUUUCCCUACGUUCUCACUACGACAGCAGGAUAUCAAACAUUGAUAUCCACCAAUCUCUGGAUGGAAAAACAAAUCUCAGGGGCCUCACUAUUUUACCCUGGCUGGUUUCGAACUUCUGGGCUCCAGCUACCCCCAAGCCUC